This 663-nucleotide ribosomal RNA is filed under the name Serratia fonticola. RNAcentral's name for it is "partial 23S ribosomal RNA". It matches the Rfam family "Bacterial large subunit ribosomal RNA", at positions 2267 to 2925 of the family's 2925-position model. The record is from RNAcentral. Lineage: Bacteria; Pseudomonadati; Pseudomonadota; Gammaproteobacteria; Enterobacterales; Yersiniaceae.
AGUUUGACUGGGGCGGUCUCCUCCCAAAGAGUAACGGAGGAGCACGAAGGUUGGCUAAUCCUGGUCGGACAUCAGGAGGUUAGUGCAAUGGCAUAAGCCAGCUUGACUGCGAGAGUGACGGCUCGAGCAGGUGCGAAAGCAGGUCAUAGUGAUCCGGUGGUUCUGAAUGGAAGGGCCAUCGCUCAACGGAUAAAAGGUACUCCGGGGAUAACAGGCUGAUACCGCCCAAGAGUUCAUAUCGACGGCGGUGUUUGGCACCUCGAUGUCGGCUCAUCACAUCCUGGGGCUGAAGUAGGUCCCAAGGGUACGGCUGUUCGCCGUUUAAAGUGGUACGCGAGCUGGGUUUAGAACGUCGUGAGACAGUUCGGUCCCUAUCUGCCGUGGGCGCUGGAGAAUUGAGGGGGGUUGCUCCUAGUACGAGAGGACCGGAGUGAACGCACCACUGGUGUUCGGGUUGUCAUGCCAAUGGCAUUGCCCGGUAGCUAAGUGCGGAAAAGAUAAGUGCUGAAAGCAUCUAAGCACGAAACUUGCCCCGAGAUGAGUUCUCCCUGACUCCCAGAGAGUCCUGAAGGGACGUUGAAGACGACGACGUUGAUAGGCCGGAUGUGUAAGUGCAGCGAUGCAUUGAGCUAACCGGUACUAAUGACCCGUGAGGCUUAACCU